RNAcentral lists this ribosomal RNA (1397 nucleotides) under uncultured Bordetella sp. Its description in RNAcentral is "partial 16S-23S ribosomal RNA intergenic spacer". It matches the Rfam family "Bacterial small subunit ribosomal RNA". Lineage: Bacteria; Pseudomonadati; Pseudomonadota; Betaproteobacteria; Burkholderiales; Alcaligenaceae. The record is from RNAcentral.
AGUCGAACGGCAGCACGGACUUGGUCUGGUGGCAGUGGCGAACGGGUGAGUAAUGUAUCGGAACGUGCUCAUGGUGAAGGGGGAUAAUCGCGCCGCGAAAGGUAGCUAAUACCGCAUACGCCUUCGCCUCGCACCAUUAGAGCGGUCGAUAUCGGAUUAGCUAGUUGGUGGGGUAACGGCUCACCAAGGCGACGAUCCGUAGCUGGUUUGAGAGGACGACCAGCCACACUGGGACUGGAGACACGGCCCAGACUCCUACGGGAGGCAGCAGUGGGGAAUGAUAAUGGGGAAACCCUGGAUCCAGCCAUCUCUGCAAGCGAUGAAGGCCUUCGGGUUGUAAAAGCACUUUGGUGGAAGAAACGGCACGGAUGGUUACUCCGUGCACCGACGGUACCUGCAGAAUAAGCACCGGCCAACUACGUGCCAGCAGCCGCGGUAAUACGUAGGGUGCAAGCGUUAAUCGGAAUUACUGGGCGAAGCGUGCAGGCGGUCUCGGAAAGAAAGAUGGGAACUCAGAGCUUAACUUUGGAACUGGCAUUUUUAACUACCGAGCUAGAGUGUCAGAGGGAGGUAAAGAAAUUCCUGCGUAAAGAAGAAUGCGUAGAUAUGCGGAGGAACAAUUGAUGGCGAAGGCAGCCUCCUGGGAUAACACUGACGCUCAUGCACGAAAGCGUGGGAGCAAACAGGAUUAGAUACCCUGGUAGUCCACGCCCUAAACGAUGUCAACUAGCUGCUGGGGCCUUCGGGCCUUGCAAGCAAUAGUGAAGUUGACCGCCUGGGAGUACGGUCGCAAGAUUAAAACUCAAAGGAAUUGACGGGACCGCACAAGCGGUGGAUGAUGUGGAUUAAUCUGAUGCAACGCGAAAAACCUUACCUACCCUUGACAUGUUCAACCAGCAGAUUUGGGAGUGCUCGCAAGAGAACCGGAACACAGGUGCUGCAUGGCAUGUCGUCAGCCGCUGUGUCGAGAUGUUGGGUUGGUCCCGGCAACGAGCGCAACCCUUGUCAUUAGUUGCUGGCUGAAAGGGCACUCUCUAAUGAGACUGCCGGUGGACAAACCUGGGAGGAAGGUGGGGAUGACGUCAAGUCCUCAUGGCCCUUAUGGGUGGGCUUCACACGUCAUACAAUGGUCGGGACAGAGGUCGCCAACCGCGAGGGAGCUAAUCCCAGAAACCCGAUCGUAGUCCGGAUCGCAGUCUGCAACUCGACUGCGAAGUCGGAACUGGGUUGGUAAUCGCAGAUCGGCAUGUCGCGGUGAAUACGUUCCCGGGUCUUGUAUAGCACCGCCCGUCACACCAUGGGAGUGGGUUUUACCAGAAGUAGUUAGCCUAACCGUAAGGAGGGCGAUUACCACGGGUGAUUCAUGACUGGGGUGAAGUCGUAACAAGGUGUAGCCC